UACCGCGGUUAUACGAUGGGCCCAAGUCGAGAGGAUUCGGCGUAAAGGGUGGAUAAAGAAAGGAUACAACUAAAGUCGAAGCCUUCCCUGGCUGUUAUACGCAUUCGGGGGGAAGAAGCCCAAUCACGAAAGUGGCUUUAAGUCAGCUUGACUCCACGAGAGCUGGGGAA
RNAcentral lists this ribosomal RNA (170 nucleotides) under Eustomias obscurus. RNAcentral describes it as "partial 12S rRNA". Lineage: Eukaryota; Metazoa; Chordata; Actinopteri; Stomiiformes; Stomiidae. The record is from RNAcentral.